Molecule: ribosomal RNA, 397 nt
Filed under: uncultured prokaryote
Description: partial 16S ribosomal RNA
Source: RNAcentral
CCCUACGGGGCGCAGCACGCGGUAAUCAUCUAUAAGAUCGAGAAGAACGUGCUCUAUGUGGCCGACCCCAACAAGCCGGGCGAUACCACGAGGACGGUGACACUGAACCGGAAGACGGGGGAGACGCCGAAAUUCUCGUCCUACUAUUCCGGCGCAAACGCCGCCGUGAUGGCAAAGGAAGCCACCGAAUACAAUGUGUUUGGCUACUACGGUGUGUUCGCGCUGGGCAAUUGGAGCACGAUGGCAGAUUACUGGCAACGGAUGAUAGACGGCGGGGACGUCGGGGCUUCGCUGUUUCCGACGGACGCUGUAGUGGAGGUGGCGCGGAGCAAGGACGGUAAUGGAAACUUUGUAACGGCGGCGCUGACGGACGGCCUGGUGCUGACGGCGGGGGAGC